CCGAACAUGCCAAUACGUCACAUGUAACGUAGACGUUGCACCAUGCGAUGCCGAACGGCCAGUAACCUGGAAGUUAUUCAUUCUAUUCACUCUUGUUUCGCAAAUCUAAGUCAUACGAUUCAUUUAUGACCCGGACGGGAGUAAAUAGUAUUACAUUAGGUGACUAAACUUUGACAAUUGAAAAGUUAGCGAAUGUGAAACGAGAGAACAAUUUCUAUGCAGAGUGUUGUGGUCUCUGAAGCAGAUAUUGUAAUAAUAGGUAUGAGGAUAUCAGGUGAGCUGUGAUUUUGCUUUAUCAUGUGACGAGAAACGAAAUCUCGUUUUUUGUUAUUCGAAACAACUCGAAAACUUCUCUCCGGCUACUCGAAGCCAUCACUUUGAAAGUAAUAAUCAAACUAGCAUGUACCCCGCAAUAAAGUAUGUAUGUACAUACACAUACUUGAAAACUAAUUUUACAAGUUUCCAACCGUGUUCAUAGUCUGAUGAUGAAAAAAAAGAAGAAAGUCCAUGCGAUCACUUGUCAAGUUAUUUACCAGGCUAGGCAAUAUUCCAACUUCAUUUCCAAUUAGUUUUGAAAUUCAACCCCGAAAAUCUAUAUGGUUCACGAGAACUGGAAGAGGUAACAUCUUCGCGAAUGUUCUCGCAGGGGAAGAACAUCAAAAAGUCGUCUCGGCUGUAAUUUGACAGUUAUUCCAAAAAUCGUGAAAUCUAUGUCUCGUUUCGUUAAAUUUGCUUUUUCUCCGUAUCUGGCCAGAAAUAUUUUAAUGGGUGAAUAACUUUGACGAUUUCUUGGAAGUAAUAAGAGAAAAGACUUGCAUCUUUUAUCAAAAAAAGAAACAAUAUUGCACUAUCAUCGUCCAAAGUAGAAGAGAACAUUUUUAAAACGAUUUACGUAAAGCUUUAAUUUGGCUCUUCGGUAUAAUACGAGGGGUAUACGUAUAGUAAAUGGAAAACGAAUCCCCUUUGCAAAAUUGAGGAUCCCCUCAUUCGCACUUUACACUUUAUACUUUCCUUGAAUGAGUACCUUGUACUCUCAGCUGGGUCGGUUGUCUAGCCCGGCAACUGUUAACGUGCUUUUAACCCUUUGAUAUCCUUUGCACCGUAUGUAAACGUGUUGAACGGCGCAAGAAUGAAGGGGUUGAUAGCAUCGCCUAGAAACUUUAUUCAGUACCUCGAUGCCGAAAUUACCAGUCUCGUGGUUUUCAUUAUUUUAUCAUUAUUAUCAUAAUCGUCAUCAUCAUCAUCAUCAUCAUCAUCAUCAUUAUUAUUAUAAAGAUGAUUUUUAUCGUCACUUUGAGCGAGACCAUAGAUAUAUUGGCGAGACUAUCGAGUGUGGUUGAGAAAUUCUAAAUUUUGGAUUGUUUCAAACCUGUUUCAUAGAGAUAAGCUAUUCCAUCAGAAUUAACACGCCUGGAGAACGAGAUUAGCGGCAGCGUAUCACCACCAAGUACCGUAGGCUACUCGAUAAGUUCGUAAAAAGUUUUAGUAUUCCAAAGAUACAAUGCUCUCGUUCGAGUUAUUCGUAAGUGGUAAUUAAAUAAUUGAUACCUCUGAAUCCUAUGAUUAAUCCAAUUUAUCCGAGCUUGAAGUCGUCACUUUUAUUCCAUGUCUCGUUUUAUUUUUCCUCCUUUUGUUCAACCAUAUAUAUAUUUGUUCGCAUUAAAUGAUAUCCAAACAUUCUAGGUAUCAUUUUUGGGGGUGAGUUUGAAUCACGCUUGAGCAUCAAUGAUUUUUAUACUUCGAUCGAUACAAGAGACCUUUUUCAAAAGUUUCCAGAGGGUGGUUUUUCUCGACAGUUUUUCUAGAACGGCGGUCAUCUUGCGGAAGAAAACUACUCGAAAUAAACCUAUGUAAUUGUCAGAUUAUGAUGGAGGGAAAUAUUUUGCGGCAGCUUCAACUUUCCUCCAGAAAACCGCUUCAUUUUCAUUCGACGCCGGUAUUUUUACCAAAAUUGACCUCGAUUCUACUAUAUACAUUCUACAGAACUGGCGCCAAAUCUAAUGAGAAACUUUUCAACGUCGAGUAUUUAAUUAAAUGAGGUUCUACAAGAUGAAGGUACCCGCAUUUUUAUACCAGUCCUUCUGUCGAGUAAAUUUUUUUAAUUCAGAUUCAUCCUGUUUCCUUUAUAUUCGGUAACAACCGGGACUAGGUUACACCGACAUCAUUGAGUGUAGCCGAAUUGAGAAGAAACAGUAUCAGAUGAAGAAGAGGAAUUGCUCCCCCCCCCCCCUCAUUUGUGGCAACGGAUUGCCACCCCAAUCAAUUUGUCUUUGCAAGGUCUUUGAAAUCCAUCAGGGAGAACUGUUCGAGCGAAAAAUGUUCGUUGUUGGCCAUGGUAUUUUUCAAAAUUCUUACAAAAUAAUCGAUCACAGUUCUGUUUUGAAUUCUUGAGAUUUCCAAAAUUAAGACUUGAGAACUAUUAUAGGCGUAUCCGAAGGUAGUGCUCGCUGACUGGCGAUGAGAAUUUUGAGAAUAACAAGUGAGAAUGGACGAAGGCGGAGCCCCAGCCAAUUGAAGCUCCUCCCGAAUCGGACCUUUGUGGUGAUUCACCCUGUAUACUGACAGAAUCAAGAGACUCGGUAGAGUUUUGUUUUCUUUUCCCCUCAAUCCUAAGUAUUCUUUUCUCUUUUAUUUUUUUGCUGGUAUAGUUAUGAAAAGCUUCUUUGAGAUGGUAUACGAGUGACAUACGUUAUAUCUAGAUGAUACAUCCGCUGCCGGUGGUUGAAGAAAGCUGAACGGGAAUAGGAUAAAAAACGAGAACAGAGAAACAAAAACAAAUGCCUAAAAAUCAUACAAAGGCGCGAGGAGAGGUGAUCGGUGUCCAGGGAGUGAAAAGAGAAGGAAGAUGGAGGCACUUAGAGCAUUACUCACCCAAAAACCCGGGGAUGGCGCCUAAGGGCAUAACGAAUAAACUGACGAGUAGGUCAGCGACGGCGAGUGAUAACAGGAAAUAAUUGGUUACGUUGUGUAAACGGCGGUCAAGACCGACGGCGAGGCAGACGAGAAUAUUUCCGAGACCACCGGCGAAUAUGAAAACCGCGACGAAGAGAAAACUCCAAUCGAAACGACGACCUUUUACCGUCCAAGGUGGACGUUCACGCCGACUGCACGUCGCUGGAAUACCAGGGUUCUCAGGGUCGCUGAAGCGGACGAGAUCUCAGGAUUACGAAAAUGUAACAGCGGACUCCGUUUGCAAAUUCGGGCCGAACAGUUUCAGAAAUAUAAUAGUCAAAGUGAAAGAUGA
Long non-coding RNA from Athalia rosae (coleseed sawfly), 3244 nucleotides. RefSeq lists it as uncharacterized. The transcript is spliced from 3 exons. The record is from RefSeq and is a predicted model, not a curated record. Lineage: Eukaryota; Metazoa; Arthropoda; Insecta; Hymenoptera; Athaliidae.